RNAcentral lists this ribosomal RNA (253 nucleotides) under uncultured bacterium. RNAcentral describes it as "partial 16S ribosomal RNA". It matches the Rfam family "Bacterial small subunit ribosomal RNA", at positions 524 to 776 of the family's 1533-position model. The record is from RNAcentral.
UACGUAGGGUGCGAGCGUUAAUCGGAAUUACUGGGCGUAAAGCGUGCGCAGGCGGUCCGCUAAGACCGAUGUGAAAUCCCCGGGCUUAACCUGGGAACUGCAUUGGUGACUGGCGGGCUGGAGUAUGGCAGAGGGGGGUAGAAUUCCACGUGUAGCAGUGAAAUGCGUAGAGAUGUGGAGGAAUACCGAUGGCGAAGGCAGCCCCCUGGGCCAAUACUGACGCUCAUGCACGAGAGCGUGGGGAGCAAACAGG